RNAcentral lists this ribosomal RNA (519 nucleotides) under Fusarium sp. LD-127. RNAcentral's name for it is "eukaryotic LSU rRNA". The stretch from base 151 to 304 matches the Rfam family "5.8S ribosomal RNA". The record is from RNAcentral. Lineage: Eukaryota; Fungi; Ascomycota; Sordariomycetes; Hypocreales; Nectriaceae.
GGGCAUCGAGCUAACUCCCAACCCCUGUGAACAUACCUAUACGUUGCCUCGGCGGAUCAGCCCGCGCCCCGUAAAAAGGGACGGCCCGCCCGAGGACCCCUAAACUCUGUUUUUAGUGGAACUUCUGAGUAAAACAAACAAAUAAAUCAAAACUUUCAACAACGGAUCUCUUGGUUCUGGCAUCGAUGAAGAACGCAGCAAAAUGCGAUAAGUAAUGUGAAUUGCAGAAUUCAGUGAAUCAUCGAAUCUUUGAACGCACAUUGCGCCCGCCAGUAUUCUGGCGGGCAUGCCUGUUCGAGCGUCAUUUCAACCCUCAAGCUCAGCUUGGUGUUGGGACUCGCGGUAACCCGCGUUCCCCAAAUCGAUUGGCGGUCACGUCGAGCUUCCAUAGCGUAGUAAUCAUACACCUCGUUACUGGUAAUCGUCGCGGCCACGCCGUAAAACCCCAACUUCUGAAUGUUGACCUCGGAUCAGGUAGGAAUACCCGCUGAACUUAAGCAUAUCAAAAGAGGGGAGGAA